Molecule: ribosomal RNA, 452 nt
Filed under: Bacillus licheniformis
Lineage: Bacteria; Bacillati; Bacillota; Bacilli; Caryophanales; Bacillaceae
Description: bacterial SSU rRNA
Rfam family: Bacterial small subunit ribosomal RNA
Source: RNAcentral
UUCAUGGAGAGUUUGAUCCUGGCUCAGGACGAACGCUGGCGGCGUGCCUAAUACAUGCAAGUCGAGCGGACCGACGGGAGCUUGCUCCCUUAGGUCAGCGGCGGACGGGUGAGUAACACGUGGGUAACCUGCCUGUAAGACUGGGAUAACUCCGGGAAACCGGGGCUAAUACCGGAUGCUUGAUUGAACCGCAUGGUUCAAUCAUAAAAGGUGGCUUUUAGCUACCACUUGCAGAUGGACCCGCGGCGCAUUAGCUAGUUGGUGAGGUAACGGCUCACCAAGGCAACGAUGCGUAGCCGACCUGAGAGGGUGAUCGGCCACACUGGGACUGAGACACGGCCCAGACUCCUACGGGAGGCAGCAGUAGGGAAUCUUCCGCAAUGGACGAAAGUCUGACGGAGCAACGCCGCGUGAGUGAUGAAGGUUUUCGGAUCGUAAAACUCUGUUGUUAG